Megalobrama amblycephala (Wuchang bream) is the source of this 1521-nucleotide long non-coding RNA. RefSeq lists it as uncharacterized. The record is from RefSeq and is a predicted model, not a curated record. NCBI's taxonomy places the organism in Eukaryota, Metazoa, Chordata, Actinopteri, Cypriniformes, Xenocyprididae. The transcript has 2 exons.
GAACAGGAUACAGGAGAAGGAUGAUUGAAUUGGAUCAUUGAAGCUGAUUAAUGACUGAUGAAGAGAGAGAGAGAGAGAGAGAAACUACUGCAGUUUUCAUUUCCACGCCUGCUUGACCACAAUCCUCAGAGCAAAGAGAAGAUUCAUCAAUCAGACCGACAUCUAAAGCCGACAAACAGGAGGAAAUUAAACGUGUAAAACGCACCUGAGCGUUACAUUCAUUCAUCCCAGCUAACAGAACGUUCUGGCAAGGUUCUCUAAAAGUUAUGAACAAACGUUCUCUGGCCUUUAAUAAUGUUCUCAAAACAUUAGCACAAAAGCAUUAGUUUUCAUACAUAACCUAUAUAUGAUGAAACACACUGAACUCAUGAGUGUUCACAUACAGCGCCUCAUAAUCAUUUACUUCAGUAUUUUUUAUUAAGAGAAUGAUUUUCUGCAGUGCAUUCGGACACUGAAGCCAUUCGCACUCAGAUGUGUGUAUCGACUUUGGUGACCAAAAACAGAAAAAAGUGAACUAUGGAGAGACUGAGAUGAGCUUCUGAUCUGUUGUUCAGACUGAAUGAGCUGAUAAAUGUUGAGAUGCUGCCCUCUAGUGUGCUGACAGUGGUGAUGCACCUCUGACCACUGAACUGAAAUGUUAUGGCUGGUUCUGCAACUACGGGCACUUUUAAGUUCCAGCAGUGAAAUUUAAGGUUUAUGUUCAAAUUUGUCAUCUAAAGCUUCAUAAUUAUAACCACAGUUUCAUUACACACAUUGACCUAAAAAAUAAUGAAUGAAUAAAAUGAUUUAAUUAAAAAUUAUGAAGCAUUUAUAGGUCCAAACACCAUUUUUGCUCAUGUCCCACACCUGUAGUUUCAACGCUGAGAUUAGCUACAAUAUGACAUUAUUUCAAAUGAAUUAGUUUAAUAUAAAUGUUACUUUACACCAUCUUAAAGUUCUUUUUUUGUUUACUAAUCAUUUAUAUGAUUUUUUUCACCUGUCCUACACUUUUGAGUGUAUUAGCAAAAACGUCAUUUCCGCAACACAUCUUUACCGCAGCAUUUUUAGGUGUUGCGGUAAAGACCUUGCGUUACGGUAGAGACAAAUUCAAGUUUUAUACUGUAAUCUAAAUAUAAAAAUGCCAUUUUUGCAACCCUAGAUGAUACCAAAUUCAUCUAGUAAGAUGACAGAAAUGCAGAGACAUAAUGAGAAAAGACCCUGACAGAUAUGAAUAGUUAUGGGAAAGAGCAUUAAAAAAAGCAGAUAAACUGACAAAUCAGAAAAAAAGAAACCAGAGGACAAAACAAAAUACUGAAGGCCUCAAAUUAGCUUUUCCAUAAUAUAAGUUCAUAAAAGUAUUAGCUUUUGAAACAAGAAAAUCAGUUUAACCCAGUCUUUCCUGCAGUACCUCUUUGACAAAAUACCUUCUGUUGUCUGUUACUGUUUUUCUCUACAGUAACCUAUUGUUAAGGUUACAUUAUUAACAUGCGUCAUUAAUAUUGUGUCCUUACCGACACACUGUCAUUACCACAGCAAUGAUUU